UGGGGAAUAUUGCGCAAUGGGCGAAAGCCUGACGCAGCAACGCCGCGUGAGUGAUGAAGCCCUUCGGGGUGUAAAGCUCUUUCGGCAGGGAAGAUAAUGACGGUACCUGCAGAAUCAGCUGCGGCUAACUACGUGCCAGCAGCCGCGGUAAUACGUAGGCAGCGAGCGUUGUUCGGAGUUACUGGGCGUAAAGGGUGUGUAGGCGGUGCUCUAAGUGUGGUGUGAAAUCUCCCGGCUCAACUGGGAGGGUGCGCUACGAACUGGAGUGCUCGAGUGCGGGAUGGGAGAGUGGAAUUCCUGGUGUAGCGGUGAAAUGCGUAGAUAUCAGGAGGAACACCGGUGGUGUAGACGGCUCUCUGGACCGCAACUGACGCUGAGACACGAAAGCGUGGGUAGCAAACAGGAUUAGAUACCCCAGUAGUCCCUGAGCGGGCUGGCAAGGCGCAU
This 447-nucleotide ribosomal RNA is filed under the name uncultured bacterium. RNAcentral describes it as "bacterial SSU rRNA". It matches the Rfam family "Bacterial small subunit ribosomal RNA", at positions 355 to 825 of the family's 1533-position model. The record is from RNAcentral.